Molecule: ribosomal RNA, 464 nt
Filed under: Vreelandella stevensii
Lineage: Bacteria; Pseudomonadati; Pseudomonadota; Gammaproteobacteria; Oceanospirillales; Halomonadaceae
Description: partial 16S ribosomal RNA
Rfam family: Bacterial small subunit ribosomal RNA
Source: RNAcentral
UCUACGGGGUGCAGCAGUGGGGAAUAUUGGACAAUGGGCGAAAGCCUGAUCCAGCCAUGCCGCGUGUGUGAAGAAGGCCUUCGGGUUGUAAAGCACUUUCAGUGGGGAAGAAAGCCUUGGGGCUAAUACCCUCGAGGAAGGACAUCACCCACAGAAGAAGCACCGGCUAACUCCGGCCAGCAGCCGCGGUAAUACGGAGGGUGCGAGCGUUAAUCGGAAUUACUGGGCGUAAAGCGCGCGUAGGCGGUCUGAUAAGCCGGUUGUGAAAGCCCCGGGCUCAACCUGGGAACGGCAUCCGGAACUGUCAGGCUAGAGUGCAGGAGAGGAAGGUAGAAUUCCCGGUGUAGCGGUGAAAUGCGUAGAGAUCGGGAGGAAUACCAGUGGCGAAGGCGGCCUUCUGGACUGACACUGACGCUGAGGUGCGAAAGCGUGGGUAGCAAACAGGAUUAGAUACCCUAGUAGUC